This 376-nucleotide ribosomal RNA is filed under the name uncultured bacterium. RNAcentral's name for it is "partial 16S ribosomal RNA". It matches the Rfam family "Bacterial small subunit ribosomal RNA", at positions 355 to 723 of the family's 1533-position model. The record is from RNAcentral.
UGGGGAAUAUUGGACAAUGGGCGAAAGCCUGAUCCAGCCAUGCCGCGUGUGUGAAGAAGGUCUUCGGAUUGUAAAGCACUUUAAGUUGGGAGGAAGGGCAGUAAGUUAAUACCUUGCUGUUUUGACGUUACCAACAGAAUAAGCACCGGCUAACUUCGUGCCAGCAGCCGCGGUAAUACGAAGGGUGCAAGCGUUAAUCGGAAUUACUGGGCGUAAAGCGCGCGUAGGUGGUUUGGUAAGAUGGAUGUGAAAGCCCCGGGCUCAGCCUGGGAACUGCAUCCAUAACUGCCUGACUAGAGUACGGUAGAGGGUGGUGGAAUUUCCUGUGUAGCGGUGAAAUGCGUAGAUAUAGGAAGGAACACCAGUGGCGAAGGCG